Long non-coding RNA from Canis lupus familiaris (dog), 1155 nucleotides. RefSeq lists it as uncharacterized. Lineage: Eukaryota; Metazoa; Chordata; Mammalia; Carnivora; Canidae. The record is from RefSeq and is a predicted model, not a curated record. The transcript is spliced from 3 exons.
AGCGGCUGGUGCGCCCUGGGGUCCCUGCGCCCCGCACCGCGCACGCGGGAGGAGCCCCCAGGGCAGCGUCGGUCCCCGCGGGGUGUCACCCCGUGCCCCUUGGGGUGAGGGGAGGGCGGAAAGGAAGAGCCCGGGAAAGGAGAAAGAUUUAAAAUAGUCGGCGGAGAGGAGAGGGGGCAGGGAACCGGGGACACAGCGUUCGCACAAACCCCGGUUCUGAUUUCAAGUGAAGACAAGACCCACGCUGCUGCGCCCGCGCAGACCUCUGCUCCACACAUUGCCAGCUCCAAAGGCCAAAUUCAAAGAAAAGAACGGAAAAAGAAAAAAAAAAUAGCGAAAGCCGGGACUACCACCUAUCUUCUCCCCUGCGUUCUUCGGGCAAAUUGGAGAGGCGGGCGCUGCGCUGGGGAAAGUUUGUCCCACCCGCAUUUCGCAGCUGGCUGCGAGCGGAGGAGGAGGAGGAGCGGGAAAGCAGAGCUCGGAGCCUGCGGCCGCAGGGAGAGCCAGCGCCGCGCUUACCUCGCAGUCCUCGUACUUGAUAUUAUCCGUCAGUUUCCAAAGCAUUUUCAUGGAUCGGCGUGAACGGAUUUGCCCCCUUCUCCGCCUCGCACCCAAGUGGAGCUACUCUCUGGCUCUUUACCAACAGCCUAAUCGCCUCAUUAGCAUAUCAACAAUAGUCCAAUUGCUCGCCAGCACCUGCAGUCUGCGGCCGGCCGCUCCGACCCAGGUAUAAAGGCCUCUCCGAGCCGCGAACUUGCUCCUAGAGCGCACGCCCGCCUGCGAGCCGACGAAAUCUCCCCUGAGACCUGCCGUGCGCCCGGGCCCCGGCCACCCCCGGUCCCCGCCGCCGCGCCAUUCCACCCCAGUCCUCUCCCCCUCCGUCUCCUCCUCCAGGGAGAUGCCAUCCGCAAGGGCCCGGCGCUGUGCAGGGUCCGCGCCGCUGCGCCUGGGGCCCGCCUUUCAGCACCUCUCCCUCACCCCUGCCCGCGCUAACCGCGCUGUCCUUUCGGCCCCGUCCAAUUUUAUUAGAAAUUAUUAUCCCUUUCGCAAUUAAAUAUAAUCAUCAAACCGAGACCGGCAAAGUCACUCCAGGAUUUUUGCCCAACAAGAGAUCGCCUCCGCUCGCUGCAGCCACCACCUCGGGCCCCAGCGCCU